GAUAGUUUAUUGACAAAGAAAGAGAAAUUAAAGAUAGCGUAAAGGAUGUCAACUUUUAAUUGAAAUAUUCUUCACACAUUUGUUGUAUUAGUUUUAGGCAUACAUUGUAGUCCUUCCAUAUGUCUAUAAAUUAUGUUGUACUUAAGCACAAGUGUAGCUAUCUUGUGAAAGCAUGCAACAGUAUUAUUACAGGAUUGACUCUCCUCCAUUGGCUGUUCCUUGUAUCCCUAGGACUCAUUCAUUCCAUAGCUGGAAGCUGGUAUCUCUCUCUCAAAGGUGUCCAUUCUUUAUCUAACCUAAACACUUAGGUGGUAAACACCAUUACCUCUUGUUCAGCAUGUGUAAAUUGGUGGUCUAUUUUUCUGGGAACAUUGCUUAAAGCAUUACAAAUGGUGUCAUUACGUUAAUAAAUUUGGUUUCAUUCUUCACUCACAAGAAAGGAGAAGGAAGAGAUUUCUUUGUGCCCUAGGCCCUGUCACUAAGACCCUUCCCAGUGUAGAGAACAGGCUUAGUUGCCCAGAGCACCUUCGGUCCCUCAGCUGAGCCACCAGGGUCUUCAACAUUGCAGGAAUUCCCAUGGUGGCCAGCAGAGAGAGCUCGAGCACCACAGACCCGGAGGGGAGGGUUCCUCUGCCUAGGCAGUGAUGGCCAGCAGAGGCGCACCAUCGGCUUUUUGACCCAGAGCACCUAGGAGCAGGAAGGGCUUCUAUUGCUCCCAGAGGAUGCAGGGCCUCUGCUGCUGCCUCAGGACAGAAAGCAGAGCUGCCUUUCCAGCGCGUUCUGCCACCCACCCCAGGGGAGACCUUGGGAGCUUUGCAGCAACUUGGCAUCUCCUGAGUCCCAGAGAGUAUCUGCCUUGUUGUACUGAGUGCUGAGGAGGGGAUGCUGGGUGGCUUCCCUGGUCAAGCUGGUUGCUGAGCUGCACAGGCACUUGCAUUUUCUGGGCUGUUCCCGUGUUUCAUUCCUCCCCUUCCCGGACAGUAUUUGAACAAGACGUAUUUUACAAAAGAACUCAUGGAUUGCGGGGUCCCACGACAUCACCUCAUAGAUGCAGCCGAUGGUUUGUUCCAGAUUCAGGCUUGUUUCCAGGAAGAAACCCUGACAGAAAUUCAGAAGAACGGGAGCUGCAUUCCGUUAGGACGUGAACACAUGAAAUGCUCGUCUCACGACCUUCUAGAUGAAUGAGCUGGGACCCAGUUUCUGAGUCCUGCUGGAACCAGAGACCGAGGUAAGGGCACAAACUGCCCCCAUGGAACCCGAAGCAGAGAGGGAUUCAGGAGCAGACCAGUUACUGCUUGGCUCCCACAAAUGGUUGCCUUGGAACUCUUGAUGGAUGAAGAGAAAACACCCACCACCACCGUUUCAUAACCCUGCACUGAAUGUGGAGACAAUAACCACCUACCCCCAAAAGGAAACUCCAGCAGGGUACAUGUAUCAAACCUAAGGUGUUGGUCAUGUAUUUUGGAUCAAUAAGUGAGGUUGUACUUUUGACUGGCUUGCAUCUUUCCUCUACCUCUAUACUCCAAGUUCCUGGCUGGCACUGGAGUUACAUCCUUAGCAUGGGCAUCAUAACCUCCAGGUGAGGUAAGUAUGAUUAUGCUUGUUUUGAAAAUCCACAAUCUGAAGCUCAAGAGAGAGUAGGUCAUGUUUCUGAGAUCACAGUACUAGUAAGUGCUAUCCUUUGGAUAACUUUGUUCUCAUGGGCUCCAAAGCCCACUUUCUUUCAUCUACCACACUGUCCCCAAGAUGAACGGGGAAAAGCGAUACUUCAGCCUGGUAUAAUAUAAGCAAUGGUACGUGUAAAGCGUCUCUCACAUUCCAGGAAAUGGGAUUAAGUUUAGUAUCUGAGUAAUUAUACCCACAGGUUGAAUUUCAAUCUCACAUCCUUUUAUUUUUUUACUGCUGCAAUUUCUGUUAUCCUUAAUGAUUAUAUAAAUGUAUUCGUCCCUUUGCAAAAUUUAGCCAGCAGGAAUACUGAGAGAGUUUCUUUCCUUUGUAACAGGUCUGAAUUAUAUAAUGAAUUCAUAAUGUCAAGAUAAUAGAUGUUAUUUUUUCCUACAAUAUAGAAGAAAAGGUCAUUGCCUUUGUUGUAAGAGUUUACCAUGUGUUCUUGGUAACAAGACUGAGCUGUAUUGCUCAAAACCAUCGUAGACUUUGAAAGUCAGUUAUUUAUACUUAAGAGAGUAUCGUUCUUUCUUUGGGUGCAGCUGGUUGUUGGAAAUAGAACUUAGGAUUUUUCU
This is a long non-coding RNA of Acinonyx jubatus (cheetah), 2240 nucleotides long. RefSeq lists it as uncharacterized. The record is from RefSeq and is a predicted model, not a curated record. The transcript is spliced from 3 exons. Lineage: Eukaryota; Metazoa; Chordata; Mammalia; Carnivora; Felidae.